AGCAUGCUGUUCAUCGGAGGUUCAUCAAAUUUGUAGAUGUCAGACUUUGCCAGGGUGGCAGAGAACUUUUACAUGUCAGAGGCGCUACUGAGCAAAGCUGGCUUGUCUGUCUAAUGCUCUUUUUGUCCAUUUACCAUCAGUAAACAUCUUACAUGUUCCAAACACUCUUUAAUAGACUUAUGUGUUCUCUUGUUUCAGGCCAAUGAGGCAGGAGAUUCCUUCCCUAUCUGGGGCCCGUGUCUGUGGAUGCAGCCGUUGACUUUUCUGAUGGCCAUAGAGAACCUGCUGACCAAAACCACAGCUGAGCAGAUGGCCCUGCCCCUGAACCUCACCACAGACAUUCAAGGAAAAUGAGAACCUGCAACAUUUCUUGUCCACAAACAAGGCUAAGAAUGGUGCCAUCUUUGUCUCAACCAUGGAAGGGAAUCAACUACAAGUACAACUACAGUUUUUUUUAAAUAGGCCUUUAACAGAUCAUACAUAGUUGUUUUUUUAGAUAAAGCAAUGUAAAUCAAUGUGGGCUGCAUAAUCUGUACGAACUAUGCCGCACAAAGUAAUUGUUAGUAUCACAAUAUUAUAAUAGUUUUAUAAUAGUUGUAGUGGAAAUUUCCUGUAUUUACCAAAUCAUCAGACCAAACCACCACACAAGUCAGAGUUAUCAUAAAGUCCAUCUUUAAUUAUAUGAGCUCCAUCACAACCCUGUGACUCUCAGAUCAAUUCAGUGUCUAUAAAUGAAUUCUCUGAGAGUCCUUACAAAACAGUUCUUAGUAUCAUUUAUAGCCAAGACACACCCAUCUCAACUCACAUGACGAAUAACAGAUCUUAGGAACAUUACAAAGGAAGACCUUACUUGAGAGAGGAGUAUUCCAUAGCCAGACAGCAUUAGCUAUAAAUUAUCGUUCAGUUUGCUCUCCUAAAACGAGGUUCUACUUCUCGUUCUUGCUACAACAUAGUACCAAGACAUUAGGAUAUAUAUCAAUUGUCAUUUUAGACACUCCCAUUCUGGACAAGCUCACAGAGACACAGUGACUGGCACACAGACAUUGUGGAGCCAAGAGAUAAUUGGUUCCCCCCUCAAUCAUCCCUUCACAUGGUUUAAAAGAUAUGUUUACAUAUGAAGACAAGCUUGACCUCUCCCCUCUCUGAGGCCCAAGUAACUGAACCCUGACAGAGAACAGUUAACUGCAACCGGCCAACAGUAUUAUCCAAAAAUAGACAUUCUAAUGACAUAUCUCACAUAAGCAUGCAAUAAAAAUAAAACAUCUUAUCUAUGUUACCCAACUAUUCUGAUUAAUCCCCAACAUAGUGUAAUAACAUUAUUGCUCUAAUGGGUCACCAGGAAGGACAUCUAAAGGAAUGAGCAUAAGCAGCCAGGUCACCUGUGAUACAAAUCAGUAUUUGACGUACAUCU
Molecule: long non-coding RNA, 1411 nt
Filed under: Oncorhynchus kisutch (coho salmon)
Lineage: Eukaryota; Metazoa; Chordata; Actinopteri; Salmoniformes; Salmonidae
Description: lncRNA (ENSOKIG00005020563.1)
Source: RNAcentral